Molecule: ribosomal RNA, 492 nt
Filed under: uncultured bacterium
Lineage: Bacteria
Description: partial 16S ribosomal RNA
Rfam family: Bacterial small subunit ribosomal RNA
Source: RNAcentral
AGUGAACGCUGGCGGUAGGCCUAACACAUGCAAGUCGAACGGCAGCACAGUAAGGGCUUGCUCUUACGGGUGGCGAGUGGCGGACGGGUGAGGAAUACAUCGGAAUCUACUUUUUCGUGGGGGAUAACGUAGGGAAACUUACGCUAAUACUGCAUACGACCUACGGGUGAAAGCAGGGGAUCUUCGGACCUUGCGCGAUUGAAUGAGCCGAUGUCGGAUUAGCUAGUUGGCGGGGUAAAGGCCCACCAAGGCGACGAUCCGUAGCUGGUCUGAGAGGAUGAUCAGCCACACUGGAACUGAGACACGGUCCAGACUCCUACGGGAGGCAGCAGUGGGGAAUAUUGGACAAUGGGCGCAAGCCUGAUCCAGCCAUACCGCGUGGGUGAAGAAGGCCUUCGGGUUGUAAAGCCCUUUUGUUGGGAAAGAAAAGCAGCAGGUUAAUACCCCGCUGUUCUGACGGUACCCAAAGAAUAAGCACCGGCUAACUUCGUG